RNAcentral lists this ribosomal RNA (362 nucleotides) under Pangasianodon hypophthalmus (striped catfish). Its description in RNAcentral is "partial 12S ribosomal RNA". It matches the Rfam family "Bacterial small subunit ribosomal RNA", at positions 1026 to 1527 of the family's 1533-position model. The record is from RNAcentral. Lineage: Eukaryota; Metazoa; Chordata; Actinopteri; Siluriformes; Pangasiidae.
UUGUUUUCUCCGCCUAUAUACCGCCGUCGUCAGCUUACCCUGUGAAGGCCUAGCAGUAAGCAAAGUGGGCUCGCCCCAAAACGUCAGGUCGAGGUGUAGCGCACGAAGUGGGAAGAAAUGGGCUACAUUUUCUACAAUAGAAUAUUACGAAUGGCACCCUGAAACAAAUGCCUGAAGGUGGAUUUAGUAGUAAAAAGCAAAUAGAGUGUCCUUUUGAAUUAGGCUCUGAGACGCGCACACACCGCCCGUCACUCUCCCCUCACACAUCAAACUCAAACCAAACAUUCUUAAUUAAACAUUUAUCAGCACGGGGAGGCAAGUCGUAACAUGGUAAGUGUACCGGAAGGUGCACUUGGAAUAAC